UCUGGGCAAACGCUGAGUAUAUAUACUUAGAGGAAAGUCCACACUCGCACAAUCUGCGAUGAUUGUAGUGUUUGCGCAUAGGGAAAAAAUAACCUAUGGCAGGUUUAUACCUGACGGCAUUUAUCUAAUCUAAGGAAAUUCUAUGAUUAGAUAAUAUAAAGUGCCACAGUGACGAAUCUAUUUAGAAAUGAAUAGAGUGAAACGCGGUAAACCCCACAAGCGAGAAACCCAAAUUAUGGUAGGGGAACUAUUCUUAAGAGAAUCAAAUCUAUAAGAUGGAUAGCAUAUGCUAUAGAUAAAUGUUUGCCACCGGUCUUCCGGUACAGAAUGUGGCUUAUAA
RNAcentral lists this RNase P RNA (340 nucleotides) under bovine gut metagenome. Its description in RNAcentral is "Bacterial RNase P class B". It matches the Rfam family "Bacterial RNase P class B". Rfam says of the family: Ribonuclease P (RNase P) is a ubiquitous endoribonuclease, found in archaea, bacteria and eukarya as well as chloroplasts and mitochondria. The record is from RNAcentral.